AUCUAUUGCUACUAUCCCUUUAGACUACAAAGAAUGUCUCUCGAUGUGAGUGAUGUAUAGAGAAGACUGCAACCUUAGUCUCGUUCUAACCUUGGUAAGGAUGAUCUACAGUUCUAUUGGGGAGGCUCACGGAAUCUAGACAACACAAAGGAUGUUCGACCCGCACCUAUAAACCUACCCGUCCUGCUAACGAGAUGUGAUCUGCAAAGGUAACUCGGAAAUGUCACGUUCCUCGCUACUACCACGGUCCAGCUAGUCAGGGGAUAUCUAUGAGUACCCUAGCCUAAACACCACGUUUACGCUAACAAGUGAUUACUCUAAUACUCAACCGGAAGAGGAUUAAAGUAAACUCAUAAACCAAAGAACAAUAAAACAAGAACUUACUAGUAUUAGAAGUUGAAUUACUGAAGAAUCUUAGAAGCAAGCCUCGGGUUAGGAGACUUGAUCCCGCAGGUACAACUCGGAGUAGACACCGACAGGACGGCCUUCCUCCGAUCCACACCUCCACUCUAUCUCUCUCAAUCUAGUAGAAACUAUAAGAUCUAUUUCUACUUUACAUUGGAUGCUAAGCCUAAAAAGAAAUAUUAUUUAGAGAAGAGGUUUUCCUUCAAGGGCACCCCUCAAUCUCUAUGAUAAUUUCUUGUCUCCUCCAGGGGCCAGAGGGGGUCUCCUUAUAUAGUCCUCCCCUUCUAUGCGUUUUUGGGUUGAUAGGCGAGGUGGUACUAUGUUAUUCUAGAUCCAAUAGGUCGGUGGAACGUCGUGUGCGAAGAGAGUCUGGAACGGAGUCCAGAGGGGGGUCUGCUGCCCAGGUCCUCAGGGCAGGCGCCCUGGGCCUGGCCCCUUUCGGGCUCCGCUACCUUCCCGUGGCUUCUGGAGUCUUCUAGAUGGUAGAAAAUUGCGCGGUGGGUUGAUAUCUCUAUGUAAUCCCAACAUGUGGGCCUUUCUUCCUUAUUUCCUGAUAACCCCCUGGAGAAAUAGACAAACACCAAAACCCGUGGAAUUCUGUCAGAUAAAACCCUAAGUCUAGAUGUUGAUUUCAUUUGGAUCCUUUUCUUUGUUUAUUUGAUAAGUAAAUUUGAUACUUAAGGACCGUCAACAAACUCCCCCAAGCUUACCUCUUGCUCGUCCCUGAGAAAGGAUAGACUCAGCUAUGGAUCAUAAAUUGUUGCAAUAUUUUUAAAAAUUGAUGUACACAUGCUUUUUAAAUAAGAUCUCAUCUCUGAGUUAGAGUAAACUGUCAAGACUUAAAACUUACUUACUUUACCUUUACCAUGGGACUUGUCACUGUCACUUCUGUCUUGAGUGGUUAAAAGAUAGAACAGUCUAGCCAAGUGCCAUGUCUCUUAUUCUUGAUCAGCUAUAGCUCUGGGGUUUUUGCAGAUUUUCAAAUAAAACUCAGAAAUUCCUUGUAUGAUUCUCUCAGGUCUCUCUUUUGUGGUAUUUUUGGAUCCUUACCAAGGCAGUGAUGGUAUAUGCCUUCUCUCAAAAUAUGUAGUAUUUGUGGUAUGAAGCAUAGUGACAUUGUCUUCUCUCUCACCCUACUCUAAUAAGGCUUUAAUAUCUGGAGCUCAUAGGUGGGAGAUAAAGUAUACAUACUUACAAGACAUUUAUUGCAUAGUCAAACCAUGGAUCCAAAGAAACAAAUCAAUAAGCCAAAUCAAGAUGUGCAUGUGUGGCGAAUGAAUGGUGUAUGGUGAUGAUGGUGAUAACAAUGGUGGUGGAAGUCUAAUUCUACUUUGCUCUUUGAGGGGAUACAUACCUUCCUUGCUUUUGAAACUUUAUGAGAAGAAUGAGAUGCUCUUCUUUUUCUUUUCUUUCGAGGUUCCGAGCACUUGGUCCUUUUUAUUUCCUCGUAUAUUAUUAUUUUUUUUCUCUUUUUUUUCUUCUUUUUUUUCUCUUUUUUUUUACUAGAGCACUCAUCUCCUGAAAUAAUAUAGCAAGUGGUAGUAACCAAAAUAACUGGAGCAUUUAUUUCACAGGGAAUAACAGGGAUAGGAAAAUGUUUUUGGCUAUUCUCUCCCGGAUUAGGAGUAGAAUAAUUUUGGGUAAAACUGGAGAUAGAAAUGAGUGGAUAUAUGUGGAUGGUACUUCCAGAGUAGAAGUAGCAUGUAUGAGUGAACGUGCAAGUGAAUCUUGAUUUUAACCACAUGACAAGCUCCUAAGGGUCUACACAGCUUGACCACACUCAAUGCUCAUAAGCAGUAAAUAGUAGAUGUGUGGCUCAAAGUCUAGCAAGCAUGUAUAUAUGGCCGUGGUAGGAAUUUAAACUCUCAUCAUAUAGAAACUCAUCAUGUGAUAUUUUAAAGAUUUUUCAAAGAUAAAAUUCUCCAGAAUUCUAGCAUCUCUAGGAACAGAUAAACAGCAGCUCAACCUUCCCGUAUCAUAUCCGUUAACAACUUAGACUUUUGAUCAGGUACUCUUCCCACAAGUUUAGGUUUAGAGCAAAUCUUAAUUCAUAACAGUCAUGCCUAAACUUGAGAGAGAUUUCAAUUUUAAGAACUAGUCAUGGCAGAGCAACUAUUCAUCAUUUCCAUGUGAGAGUUUAUCAUGAGGGUUCAUAGCAAACUUUAUUUAUUUAUUUAGCAAACUAAGCAAAGAUAUAUAUAAAAACACAAAAUCUUUAUUUGGGUUUUUUAUGAUUAUGCAUCUUUUUAUUAAUUGAGUAAAGUAUAAACACAAGUAGAAACACUUAGCUGGAUAAAUGGGGGUGCUCUCCCCCAAGCUGGAUUUUGACGUAAUUUCUUCUGAUGUAGCUAGCAGGUGAUGGAGGUGUAUUUGAAAGUCGGCAGCACCCUGACAGCGAUUAGGAUGUCCUCCGUCUGCUAGUCUUCUUUGAUCCUUGAAUUAUGUGGAGCUCAAAUAGACAACAAAGCUUUGUGCAACUGGUUAAGUGUUAGCAUAAAUAUCUAGCCUUUAUCAUGUUGAGCCUCCUCAAUAAAUAUUACUUAUUUAGCAGGAUCAUGCACUUAUUAUUUUUAUAUUUUUAUUGUAAGAUGAAAACAUAUUUAUUUUAUUUUUAUGCCACCACAGUGAAUGUACUUAUGGGUUUUAUGCCAUGAGCAUUCUCACAUGGGGCUUACUAUUUUUUUAACAUUUUUAUUUUCUUUUCAAGAUAGCAUGAACCUGAUUAACUAAGCAAACUAUAAUUUAAUAAUUGAAAGGAAAAGGAUAACUACCAAGUUUACCUCUUGGCAAGGCGUUCGGUGUUUUUAAGCCCUCCGAACGGGACUCUCCGUUUUCUCAGUCGUCCUGGGAUUCGCUAGGUGGCGUAGUCGGGGGUUCCGGCGGCGCCUCCUCUUCGUGUAUAACUAUCUUCUCUUUCCAUACCUGACUCGGUGCUACGGUCUCCUCAGGACAGUUCUGUUCAAGUUGUAUGUCUUCAGUCCUUAUCACUUCUCCUUCGUAGUCUACCCAUCCGUCCGAUUUGCCUCCUCUGGUUGCGGUUUGUCUUCUUCUUGUCCUGACCUGCUUAGAAUCUUCAACUAUAUAAUCAUUAAAGUAGUGGCGUACCUUUCGCAGAGGGGAAGUGCAUGUGGACUUCUCCGGUUCCAAUAUAGAUAAUGGCUUUGAUAGUGCUGAGGAACGGUCUUCCAAGGAUGGUGGAUGGAUCAUACUCAUCUUCUCCUAUGUCAAUGACCUGAAAAUUGUUUGAAGCUGAAUGUAUCUUGGUUGUAGGGGCAUGGUUCCAUGCAGGAGCUGAUAAGUGACUGCGGCCAUUAUGUUGUCGUCAGAUCCGGUGUCGUAGAGUGUCUUCUAAAAAGAGUAUCCAUUGUUUGUGCAUUCGAUUCUUGGAACACCAGGGUCGUCCUUCUUGAUCAAGAAAGGUGACUUGAGUCGACGAUCUUGACCUCCUUGAGCUGCAGUGACCAUCUCAGCUGACUCGGUCCACAUUUUCUUGUUCUUGUUCCUCCUGUUGGUCCUCUUCCUUGGUUCAUGUCAGGAUUGCUCUGAAGUUUGUGUAGUCUUGUUCUUGAAGGAAAGUCUCCUUCUUCCCCUUGAUGUAGAGAUUGAUCUUGGCAGCAUUUGCGUAGAUGACUGCUCUGGUGUUUAGGAAUGGCCUCCCUAAGAUGAUGGGUGCCCUCUCCUCACUACCAGUCUCUAUCACCACGAAGUUUGCUAGAGCGUACAAGGUACCAACUUGGACACAGAGGUUCUUCACUAUUUCCUUUGGGAAACUAAGUGUCUGAUCUCCAUUGUGUUUGUGCUCGUAGAUCCUGGUUCUUCACUUAGUGGAAUCUGGGAGUUGUAAAACUCCUCCAGGUUUUGUUCGAAGUGUACCUGCUCAUAGAGACAAGGCAGAGAUCAAGUGCAUGGGCUCUGUUGGUGGAAAACACCAACACAACCAAAAGUGUAUUUGUUCUUCUCUAACCUUAAGCAUAGUGAGCAAGACAAAGUUGAUGGAUCAUGAGUGUAGCAUUUGUCAGAUCAGAUGGCUCAACCUAAUGGAAAGAUAAUCUAUCUAUAUUAUGUUUUGUUUAUAUCUUCCAAAGAUUUAAAUGUGCAACAUAUUAGCUUAUAUGAUUAGGAGUGUGGGAUCACGAAGGUAGUACUAAGAACAAAGAUUAAAGGACUAAACAUGUUGAAUUAAUUGAGUUGGUUAAUUUGGAGCUACAAAUCAUACAUGUUUGUCUCUUUAUUUUUGUGAAUGCCAGAACCAAGGAGAACUUAUAAAAGUGAUAAUCAAGUACUUUAAGAUGUUAUUGAAGAGUGAUGGUAUAGUAUCACCUUGUGGAAGCUUUCCUUUCUUAGCGGUUGUGCAUCGUGUUUGUGGCACCCUCCAUGAAUCAUCUCUUAUGAGCUACGUCUUUCUUGUGCAAAUUGUUAAACUUCAUGUGUCUCCUUUAUCUCCAAUGAGUUUGUAUCUCAGGACUUCCCAGGUUAAUAUUGAAAGUUUUCCUACAGGGGUUAGUCAGACAAAAUAUCCCAUAUCUACUAUAGCAUACUAUCGGCUCAAAAAUCAACCUAGACACCAUAUCUAAUUUGAUUUAGGAGGGCAUUUUAACCUAAGCACCAUGCUUAAUAAAAAAAUCCUUUGGAAGUAAGAUCAUCAUUCCUAAACUAAGCACCAUGCUUGAUUUAAGAGAUAAAUGAAACUACUCCAAACCUAGACAUAUACUAAAGCAAAUAAAGGUAGCAUGAGAGCAUUUAUAGCGAUCUACUCAAGUGGAGGUGAAGUAGUGUAAUUAGUACUUAACAAAUUGAGCAUCUCUCAAAGGUAGGGACAACCCACGUAGCAACAUGGCAAAGGAUGUUUUUAUGUAAAGUACUCCCCAAGCUUGAAUUUUGCAAAAUUCAAGUUUGGAUGAAUUUAAUUCAAUGUUGUGUGAUGGUUGGUUGGACAUACCUUGUGCUUGUCAUUCAUCCGAUCUUCUUGCUCCAAUCCUGGAAAGGUUAGUGACAAGAAUACCCGAAGGAAUAUUUCUACAAUUAUCUUUAUAUGCUCAAUACACAAGGCAAUGUUGCAAAUAAUUAGAAGUGCUUGUUUUAGGACACUAAGCUUGUCCUUGGGAAACCAUCAAUUAACUCAACGAGAUCUGCAAUAUUUAUUAUAGACAUAUGCAUCGACAACCGCUCUUUUAAAGUUUUUAUAAAUAGAAAAGAAGAGAGGGUUGGAGAUCUCAAAUGUGAUAAGGAUGGAGAGACUAAUUGAUUGGAGAGAUGUUUUAUAUGAGCAAGGACUGGGUAAGGUAUUUAUGAAAUAACUUCCAUGCUCACUGUUGUUUCUCUCAUUCUCAAACUCCAAGGAUGAUUCUUCAUGAAUGCUUAAAAUUCCUCUAGGAUUGUCUCUCAAAUUUGUUUUAUCUAUCCAUUCAAUGGUAAUAGCACAUGGAAUUUUAAUGCCCUUUAGCCAUUGAUGUUGCUCUUCUCGAUCCUCCUUCUUAUGCAUGGGAUGUCUAGAGAGAUUCAUAGGAUUAUCGGGAGGUUUAAGAGACAGAGCAUAGUAGAAUUUAUUAAGCUCAAGGAUGGGUUGGAUAGCCGAAUUAUGGGAUUGAAAUGUUUGGAAAUCGGCUAUUGAAACUUCCUCUCCUUGUAUGGGAGAUGAUUCCUUCUCUAUCUCUAAGAUUUUUCUAUGAAGACUAGUACAAGAAGGAUGUCCACGAAUGAAGACAUACCUUCCUUUACUAAUAGAUAAAGAAAGAAGGACUCUACCAAAGGUUAUAUGAUUAAGACCAAUGUGAAAAUAUUUAGGAAAAACAUGGUCUUGUAGGGCUAGGUCUAAACCAGAAUUUAUAGAAAUAUUAAAAGAUUCCCUAGGUGUAGCUAAAAGUGCAUUAUCUUCUUGAUUAAAAGAUAGGAUCUCAGCUAUAGAAAAGGGUUGGUUUUGACCUAUUGCAAUCAACUCCAGACACAGAUCAUAAUUAGGGGCAGGACGUGUUGACUCCCAUGGUCUAUGGCUGGUCUCCGAAGGUGCAAGAAUUUAAUAAUAGGUAUGAAAUUUAAGUUAUCCAUAAAGAUAAUAAUAAAAAGAUAAAAGAAUAAAAGUAUAAAAGUAUAAUACAAGAUAAUAGCAAGACUCAAAGUUAUCUCAGCAAACCGUCUUUCUCCCCGGCAACGACGUCAGAAAUGCUUGUUGAUAUUUGGUAACGCAAUAAGGAAAUGAUCCGCAAGCACACGGAUAUCGGUGAGCAUUUCACCCGGGAGGUUAUCCAGAGUUAUCGUAUUUAUAUUUUUACCACUGGGAGAAAGGGUGCAUCUGACUAACCAAAUCUAUUGCUACUAUCCCUUUAGACUACAAAGAAUGUCUCUCGAUGUGAGUGAUGUAUAGAGAAGACUGCAACCUUAGUCUCGUUCUAACCUUGGUAAGGAUGAUCUACUGUUCUAUUGGGGAGGCUCACGGAAUCUAGACAACACAAAGGAUGUUCGACCCGCACCUAUAAACCUACCCGUCCUGCUAACGAGAUGUGAUCUGCAAAGGUAACUCGGAAAUGUCACGUUCCUCGCUACUACCACGGUCCAGCUAGUCAGGGGAUAUCUAUGAGUACCCUAGCCUAAACACCACGUUUACGCUAACAAGUGAUUACUCUAAUACUCAACCGGAAGAGGAUUAAAGUAAACUCAUAAACCAAAGAACAAUAAAACAAAAACUUACUAGUAUUAGAAGUCGAAUUACUGAAGAAUCUUAGAAGCAAGCCUCGGGUUAGGAGACUUGAUCCCGCAGGUACAACUCGGAGUAGACACCGACAGGCCGGCCUUCCUCCGUUCCACACCUCCACUCUAUCUCUCUCAAUCUAGUAGAAACUAGAAGAUCUAUUUCUACUUUACAUUGGAUGCUAAGCCUAAAAAGAAAUAUUAUUUAGAGAAGAGGUUUUCCUUCGAGGGCACCCCUCAAUCUCUAUGAUAAUUUCUUGUCUCCUCCAGGGGCCAGAGGGGGUCUCCUUAUAUAGUCCUCCCUUCUAUGCGUUUUUGGGUCGAUAGGCGAGGUGGUACUAUGUUAUUCUGGAUCCAAUAGGUCGGUGGAACGUCGUGUGCGAAGAGAGUCCGGAACGGAGUCCAGAGGGGGGCGGGCGCCUAGGUCCUCAGGGCGGGCACCCUGGGCCUGGCCCCUUUCGGGCUCCGCUUCCUUCCCGUGGCUUCUGGAGUCUUCUAGAUGGUAGAAAAUUGUGCGGUGGGUUGAUAUCUCAAUGUAAUCCCGACAUGUGGGCCUUUCUUCCUUAUUUCCUGAUAACCCCCUGCAGAAAUAGACAAACACCAAAACUCGUGGAAUUCUGUCAGAUAAAACCCUAAGUCUAGAUGUUGAUUUCAUUUGGAUCCUUUUUUUUGUUUAUUUGAUAAGUAAAUUUUAUACUUAAGGACCGUCAACAGCCUUCUCUCAAAGUAUGUGGUAUUUUUGGUAUGAGGCAUAGUGAUAUUGCCUUCUCUCUCACCCUACUCUAAUAAGGUUUUGAUAUCUGGAGCUCAUAGGUGGGAGACAGCUAAUACAUACUUACAAGACAUUUAUUGCAUAGUCCAACCAUGGAUCCAGAAAAACAAGUCAAUAAGUCAAAUCAAGAUGUGCAUGUGUGGCGAGUGAAUGGUGUAUGGUGAUGAUGGUGAUAACAAUGGUGAGAGUCUAAUUCUACUUUUGCUCUUUUUAGGGGAUACAUACCUUUCUUGCACUUUGAAGCUUUUUGAGGAGAAUGAGAUGCUCUAUAUAUUUUUUUUCUUUUCUCUCAGGUGGGUGUCCUGUACCCCUAAUUCUACUAUCGGACACUUGUCCAUUUUUACCUCUCGUCUCACUUUUUCUUUUCUUCCGAGGUUCCGGGCACUUGCCCCUUUUUAUUUCCUCGUAUCCUUUCUCUAUUUUUUUUUCUUUUCUUUUUUUAGAGCACUCAUCUCCUGAAAUAAUGUAGCAAGUGGUAGUAACCAAAAUAACUGGAGCAUUUUUUUCACAGGAAAUAACAGGGAUAGGAAAAUAUUUUUUUGGCUAUUCUCUCCUAGAUAGGAGUAGAAUACUUUUGGCUGAAUCUAGAGAUGGAAUUGAGUUGAUGUAUGUGGAUGCGUACUUCCUGAGUAGAAGUAGCAUAUAUGAGUGAACGUGCAAGUGAAUGUUGAUUUUAACCGCAUGACAAGCUCCUAAUGGUCUACACAGCUUGACCACACUCAAUGCUCAUAAGCAGUAAAAAGUAAAUGUAUGGUUCUUAGUCUAAUAAGCAUGCAUAUAUGGCUGUGGUAGGAAUUUAAACUCUCAUCAUACAGGAACUCAUCAUGUGUUAUUUUAAAGACUUAAAGAUAAAAUUCUCUAGAAUUCUAGCAUCUCUAGGAACAGAUAAACAACAGCUCAACCCUCCCAUAUCAUAUCCGUUAAUGACUUAGACUUUAGAUCAAGUACUCUUUCCAAAAGUUCAGGUUUAGAGCAGGUUUAAAUUAUAACAGUUAUGCCUAAACUUGAGAGAGAGCUCAAACUUGAAAACUAGGUACAUGGCAGAGCAACUAUUUAUCAUAUCCAUGUAAGAGUUUAUCAUUUAAGUUCAGUUUGGCCUAGACACUUUAUUUAUUUAUUUAGCAAACUAAGCAAAGAUAUAUAUAUAAGCACAAAAAAAAUCUUUAUUUGGGUUUUCAUGAUUAUGCAUCUUUUUAUUAUUUGAGCAAAGUAUAAAUGUGACUAGAAACACUUAGCUGGAUAAAUGGGGGUGCUCUCCCCCAAGCUGGAUUUUGACGUAAUUUCUUUUGAUGUAGCUAGUAGGUGGCGGAGGUGUAUUUGAAUGUCGGCAGCACCCUGACAGCGAUUAGGAUGUCCUCCAUCUGCUUGUCUUCUUUGAUCCUUGAAUUCUGUGGAGCUCAAAUAGACAACAAAGCUUUGUGGAACUGGUUAAGUGUUAGCAUAAAUAUCUAGCCUUUAUCAUGUUGAGCGUCCUCCUAAUAAAUUUUAUUUAGCAGGAUCAUGUACUUAUUAUUUAUAUUUUUAUUGUAAGAUGAAAACAUAUUUAUUUUAUGCCACCACAGUCAAUAUACCUAUGGAUUUUUAAACCACAAGUCUACUCACAUGGGGCUUACUAUUUUUAACAUUUUUAUUUCCUUUUUUAGAUGAUAUGAACCUGAUUAACUAAGCAAACUAUUUUAAAUAAUUGAAGGGAAAAGGAUAACUACCAAGUUUACCUCUUGGCAAGGCGUUCGGUGUUUUUAAGUCCUUCAAACAGGACUCUCUGUUUUCUCAGUCGUCCUGGGAUUCGCUGGAUGGCGUAAUCGGUGGUUUCGGCGGUGCCUCCUCUUCGUGUAUAACUAUCUUCUCCCUCCACACCUAACUCGGUGCUACGGUCUCCUUAGGACAGUUCUGUUCAAGCCGUAUGUCUUCAGACCUUAUCACUUUUCCUUUGUAGUCUGCCCAUCCGUCCUUGAUGAUUUGCCUCCUCUGGUUGCGUCGUCUUCUUCUUGUCCUGACCUGCUUAGAGUCUUCAACUAUAUAGUUAAGUUUAGUAAAAUAGUGGCGUAGCUUCUUAGAGGGGAAGUGCAUGUAGACUUCUUCGGUUCCAAUAUAGAUGAUAACUUUGAUAGUGUUGAGGAACGGUCUUCCAAGGAUGGUGGGUGGAUCAUACUCGUCUUCUCCCAUGUCAAUGUCCUAAAAAUCAUCUGGAGCUUGUUGACACCGUUUUUGGGCACGUGUCUAGGAUGGCAGGAUAGGGUGGCAGUACGAUGCGGGUUGCCGAUGAGGAUGGUUGCCGAUGAGGGAGAGGUUGAAUGUG
Molecule: long non-coding RNA, 10160 nt
Filed under: Sorghum bicolor (sorghum)
Lineage: Eukaryota; Viridiplantae; Streptophyta; Magnoliopsida; Poales; Poaceae
Description: long non-coding RNA (SBIC_LNC008350)
Source: RNAcentral